Molecule: microRNA precursor, 90 nt
Organism: Tetranychus urticae (two-spotted spider mite)
Lineage: Eukaryota; Metazoa; Arthropoda; Arachnida; Trombidiformes; Tetranychidae
Rfam family: mir-5727 microRNA precursor family
Source: Rfam
UUCGCUACAAGAUUGAUACAGCCAUAGCUGUGGCAAUGUAAUACAAUAAUUAUUGCCACAGCUAUGACUGUACCAUUUUCCAGAAGCGGA